RNAcentral lists this ribosomal RNA (811 nucleotides) under uncultured archaeon. Its description in RNAcentral is "bacterial SSU rRNA". It matches the Rfam family "Archaeal small subunit ribosomal RNA", at positions 50 to 863 of the family's 1478-position model. The record is from RNAcentral.
CAUGCUAGUUGCGCGACUUAGAUCGCAGCGGAAAGCUCAGUAACACGUGGCCAAACUACCCUGCAGAGGAGCAUAAUCUCGGGAAACUGAGGCUAAUACUCCAUACCGCACUCACGUUGGAAUACCGAGUGCUACAAACGCUCCGGCGCUGUAGGAUGUGGCUGCGGCCGAUUAGGUAGACGGUGGGGUAACGGCCCACCGUGCCGAUAAUCGGUACGGGUUGUGAGAGCAAGAGCCCGGAGACGGAAUCUGAGACAAGAUUCCGGGCCCUACGGGGCGCAGCAGGCGCGAAACCUUUACACCGCUCGCCAGUGCGAUAAGGGGACCCCAAGUGCGAGGGCAUACAGCCCUCGCUUUUGUGUACUGUAAGGUGGUACACGAAUAAGAGCUGGGCAAGACCGGUGCCAGCCGCCGCGGUAAUACCGGCAGCUCGAGUGAUGACCGAUUUUAUUGGGCCUAAAGCGUCCGUAGCUGGCCGCGUAGGUUCGUCGGGAAAUCCAUCCGCUCAACGGAUGGGCGUCCGGCGAAAACCACGUGGCUUGGGACCGGAAGGCUCGAGGGGUACGUCCGGGGUAGGAGUGAAAUCCCGUAAUCCUGGACGGACCGCCGAUGGCGAAAGCACCUCGAGAAGACGGAUCCGACAGUGAGGGACGAAAGCUGGGGUCUCGAACCGGAUUAGAUACCCGGGUAGUCCCAGCCGUAAACAAUGCCAAUUAGGUGUGGCACCGACUACGAGUCGGUGCUGUGCCGUAGGGAAGCCGAUAAAUUGGGCCGCCUGGGAAGUACGUCCGCAAGGAUGAAACUUAAAGGA